This 441-nucleotide ribosomal RNA is filed under the name uncultured bacterium. RNAcentral describes it as "bacterial SSU rRNA". It matches the Rfam family "Bacterial small subunit ribosomal RNA", at positions 28 to 487 of the family's 1533-position model. The record is from RNAcentral.
GACGAACGCUGGCGGCGUGCCUAACACAUGCAAGUCGAACGGAAAGGCCCUUCGGGGUGCUCGAGUGGCGAACGGGUGAGUAACACGUGGGUGAUCUGCCCUGCACUUUGGGAUAAGCCUGGGAAACUGGGUCUAAUACCGAAUACACCUGCCUGGUUGCAUGGCUGGGUUGGGAAAGCUUUUGCGGUGUGGGAUGGGCCCGCGGCCUAUCAGCUUGUUGGUGGGGUGAUGGCCUACCAAGGCGACGACGGGUAGCCGGCCUGAGAGGGUGUCCGGCCACACUGGGACUGAGAUACGGCCCAGACUCCUACGGGAGGCAGCAGUGGGGAAUAUUGCACAAUGGGCGCAAGCCUGAUGCAGCGACGCCGCGUGAGGGAUGACGGCCUUCGGUUGUAAACCUCUUCAAUAGGGACGAAGCGCAAGUGACGGUACCUAUAGAAG